GAUCAUGGCUCAGGAUGAACGCUGGCGGCGUGCUUAACACAUGCAAGUCGAAUGAAGCACUUUAUUUGAUUUCCUUCGGGACUGAUUAUUUUGUUGACUGAGUGGCGGACGGGUGAGUAACGCGUGGGUAACCUGCCUUGUACGGGGGGAUAACAGUUGGAAACGGCUGCUAAUACCGCAUAAGCGCACAGCAUCGCAUGAUGCAGUGUGAAAAACUCCGGUGGUAUAAGAUGG
RNAcentral lists this ribosomal RNA (234 nucleotides) under uncultured bacterium. Its description in RNAcentral is "partial 16S ribosomal RNA". It matches the Rfam family "Bacterial small subunit ribosomal RNA", at positions 15 to 228 of the family's 1533-position model. The record is from RNAcentral.